GGGAUAUGGCUCAGUGGUAGAGCAUUCGCUUGGCACGCGUGAGUCCCUACGUUCAAUCUCUAGCCUGAUUCCG
RNAcentral lists this transfer RNA (73 nucleotides) under Marmota monax (woodchuck). RNAcentral describes it as "tRNA.Ala". Lineage: Eukaryota; Metazoa; Chordata; Mammalia; Rodentia; Sciuridae. The record is from RNAcentral.